UGGGAGGAACCAACUAUACCUGGCAU
Molecule: non-coding RNA, 26 nt
Filed under: Rattus norvegicus (Norway rat)
Lineage: Eukaryota; Metazoa; Chordata; Mammalia; Rodentia; Muridae
Source: RNAcentral